This 492-nucleotide ribosomal RNA is filed under the name uncultured bacterium. Its description in RNAcentral is "partial 16S ribosomal RNA". It matches the Rfam family "Bacterial small subunit ribosomal RNA", at positions 30 to 507 of the family's 1533-position model. The record is from RNAcentral.
AUUGAACGCUGGCGGCAUGCUUUACACAUGCAAGUCGAACGGUAACAGGCCUUCGGGUGCUGACGAGUGGCGCACGGGUGAGUAAUGCAUCGGAACGUGCCCAGAGGUGGGGGAUAACGCAGCGAAAGCUGUGCUAAUACCGCAUGUGAUCUGAGGAUGAAAGCGGGGGACCAAGCAGCAAUGUUUGGCCUCGCGCCUCUGGAGCGGCCGAUGUCAGAUUAGGUAGUUGGUGGGGUAAAGGCCUACCAAGCCGACGAUCUGUAGCUGGUCUGAGAGGACAACCAGCCACACUGGGACUGAGACACGGCCCAGACUCCUACGGGAGGCAGCAGUGGGGAAUUUUGGACAAAGGGCGCAAGCCUGAUCCAGCAAUGCCGCGUGCGGGAAGAAGGCCUUCGGGUUGUAAACCGCUUUUGUACGGAACGAAAAGGCUCUGGCUAAUACCUGGGGCUGAUGACGGUACCGUAAGAAUAAGCACCGGCUAACUACGUG